UGGCUUGACAGUCUCUCUUUAUCCCCAGAACAGGUAUAACACAGGCAGCAGCAGUGUCAGUUUCCCCUGCUCACUGCCCUGCUAAUUAGAGCUGUCUGAAACUAUUUCGCACCACCUUCAGAAAAAUCACACUUCCCAGGUUCGCAGGAAAGCGAAAGCUGUCUCCUUCUUGCCUUGAGCUUUU
RNAcentral lists this small RNA (184 nucleotides) under Gopherus agassizii (Agassiz's desert tortoise). RNAcentral describes it as "TUC338 (ENSGAGG00000011235.1)". Lineage: Eukaryota; Metazoa; Chordata; Testudines; Testudinidae. The record is from RNAcentral.